CGUCAGCUCGUGUCGUGAGAUGUUGGGUUAAGUCCCGCAACGAGCGCAACCCUUAUUGCUAGUUACCAUCAUUAAGUUGGGGACUCUAGCGAGACUGCCAGUGAUAAAUUGGAGGAAGGUGGGGAUGACGUCAAAUCAUCAUGCCCCUUAUGACCUGGGCUACAAACGUGAUACAAUGGCUGGAACAAAGAGAAGCGAUAGGGUGACCUGGAGCGAAACUCACAAAAACAGUCUCAGUUCGGAUUGGAGUCUGCAACUCGACUCCAUGAAGUCGGAAUCGCUAGUAAUCGCAAAUCAGCAUGUUGCGGUGAAUACGUUCUCGGGGUUUGUAC
RNAcentral lists this ribosomal RNA (332 nucleotides) under Weissella confusa. RNAcentral describes it as "bacterial SSU rRNA". It matches the Rfam family "Bacterial small subunit ribosomal RNA", at positions 1053 to 1386 of the family's 1533-position model. The record is from RNAcentral. Lineage: Bacteria; Bacillati; Bacillota; Bacilli; Lactobacillales; Lactobacillaceae.